Molecule: ribosomal RNA, 2993 nt
Filed under: Lecanora strobilina
Lineage: Eukaryota; Fungi; Ascomycota; Lecanoromycetes; Lecanorales; Lecanoraceae
Description: bacterial LSU rRNA
Rfam family: Bacterial large subunit ribosomal RNA
Source: RNAcentral
AAUAUAUAUACUAAACAUAGUUGUUUUAUUAUUAAUAUUAAAAUAAGUUGAACUAUAUAUUAUAUAUGUAAGACUAUAGAAAAUUAGACAGAUUUAAUGUCUAAUAUACAUUAAAGAUAUGGACAGUAUUAUUUUGUCAUUUUUAUGACAACAAGUAUAUAAAGAGAUUGUUACAGAAUCAUAGCUAUAUAUCAAAGAGAGCCAUAUAAAAAUCUAAAUAAAAAAAAUGGCUAAAGCGUUUAAAUGUGUAGGUACUACACGUAGAACUCUAAUAAGAAAUUAAAUAUGUAAACGGAGUGAAUUGAAAUAUCUUAGUAACUUCAGGAAAAGAAAUCAAAAGAGAUUUUUUAAGUAAUGUGAAUGAAAUAAGAAACGUCUCAAAAAGUAAAAUGGAUGGAAAUCUGUUUGAAGAAAAGGGGAACCUUCCUCUAAGACUAAAUAUGAUGUAUAUGCGAUAGUGAAAAGUACCGUGAGGGAAAUGAUUAAAAUAGCAAUUUUAUAAGCAGCUCAAGAAAAAUUUAAGUAAAUAAUAAGAGCGUACCUUUUGCAUAAUGGGUCAGCAAGUUAAUGUUUGAUGCGAGCAGUAAUGCGUAGAUAAAACAAUUAUGAUAUAAUGAUGUAGUAUCAAAAAUUAGACCCGAAACCUAGUGAUCUUACCAUAAUCAGGGUUAUAAAAGUCCGAACGGGUUAUCGUUGUAAAGAUAUCCGAAGAAUUGUGGUAAGUUAGUGAAAGACAACACUGACUAGGCGUUAGCUGGUUUUCUGCGAAACCUAUUGAAGUAGGUAAUUUAAAUAGAAUAUCAGGAGGUACAGAAUUGUGAUCUCAUACAACUAGCAUUUUAUUUUCAUCUUUUUUGUUUUGUCUUUUUACUUAAAAAAUAAAAAGUAUUAACUAUUAGAAGAUUAUGGUGAAAUGCUCUUUGUGGACAUUGGGGGGUCGUGAAGACUCUAUCAGUGAGUAUUUGUUCUCGGAAGGACUAGAUAUGUAUAUUAAAUAAUCGGACAUAGUGCGAAAAGGUUGUAUGUCUAAAGGGAAACAGCCCAGAACAAGAGUUAAUAAGGUUCCUAAAUUUUUGUUAAGUGAAAUUAAGGCAGUAUUUAGCCUAGUCGACCAGGGAAUAGGCUUAGAAGCGGCCAUUUUUUGAAGAUCUCGUAACAGAGCACUGGUUUGUCAUAUGGAUAAAAGCACCUAAAAUUUAACGGAUCUAAACAAUAUACCGAAACCUUGUCCAUACAUAUAUAAAUGACACUAUCACUGAAACAAUUUACAAAAUAAAAGAUAAAAAAAACAAUUUACAAAACAAAAGAUAAAAGAAACAAUUUACAAAAUAAAAGAUAAAACAUAUAUUAUGUAUGGGGUAGCAGAACAUUGGGCAGGUUUUAGAUUAUUUCUUUAUAAGGACUAAAAUUAAACAGCUCAAGUGAGAAUGCUGACAUGAGUAACGAUAAAGGGUAUUACCCUCGCCUAAAGCUUAUGGAAUUUAGAUAAAGUUACGGCCUCUAAGUUUAUUAUGCCUUUAACUGUAAAAUAUAAAGCAAAUGAUAUAAACAUAGAUACCAUCUAUGUUUAAAAAUAUAAGUAAAGGACCCAAAAGGGAUGAACGAUGAGCAAAUCUAUCUUUUUACUGAAAAUAACUUUUACUAAAAAAGUGAAAAAUGUUCUGGAAAUCUGUAAAAAGCAUUUUCUUGUGUAAAUAAACUAAAAUAGAUGAUACGCAAAAAAAUGAAAUAUACCGUACCUAAAUACUAACACAAGUAAGCAAGUAGAGUAUACGAAGGCGUUCGAGUGAACAAUCAUUAAGGAACUCGGCAAAUUGACUCUCGUAACUUCGGGAUAAGGUGGGCCAUUCUUCUGGAUUAAUAUUAACGGAGGAAUAGGAGGCAUAGAAUGGUGUUGUACGACUGUUUAAUUAAAACAAAGCACGCUGCAAAGAAAUAAAUUCGAAGUAUUGAGUGUGAUCUCUGCCCGAUGGUAGAUGGUUAUCGGAUUUGCUUAGUUGACUAAUACAGGCUAGGUUUUGAAGGAACCCCUGCUCAAUGGCGGCCUUACAGAUGAGGGCCCUAAGGUAGCGGAAUACCCUGGCCGUUGAAUGCGGUCUUGCAUGAAUGAUGUAACGAUACAACAGCUGUCUCAAUGAUUGGCUCGGUGAAAUUGGAAUAACUGUGCAGAUACAGUUUACCUCUAGUUAGACGAGAAGACCCUUUGCAGCUUUACUGUUGCUAGUUACUGAGUAUGAUACAAUAAGUUAUAGCGUAUAAGGUAAUUGAUAAGAUAUAAUUGAAACACCUUUACUUAAUUUGUCAUAUUAUAUAUACCAUGUUAAAAUGUUAGCAUUGGUUAUAAAAAUUGAUAAAACAAUUGCUAGGUGGCAGUUUAUGCGGGGCACAGAUCCCAUAAAAAGUACCUGGGAGUAUCCAAAUUCAUUUCUGUAAAAUUGCAUCUUGCAAUUAUACAUGUUUAAAUUUAUUUCUAGACAUGUUUAUUAUUUUUAGUUAGAAAUUGGUAUUAAUGUAAUACUAAUCCAGUUAUUUAUUCAUUUAAGUUGGAGUUUUUAAUUUUUAAGUAGGAUUUUAACUACAUUAAAAUGUAGAUGUAAUUAAAGCGUUAUUUAUACACGUAUACAGAAUAAUAGAAUUAUUUACAUGUAAAUAACAAUUUUUUUUGUUUACUAUAAUAUCUAAUAUAGUGAUAAAGCUUUAAAGCCUAAUCACAAAAAAUGAAGACAUAACAUAUAGAUAUUUAGUUAAAUGAUAAUUAUAAUACUUAUCAAGUUUAACGGCUUAAUCCUGCUUUACUGUUUGACUUACACGUCUAUCAGUCGCGUAAGCGGGGCAUAUGAUCACAAGAUGCAGAAAGGAAAGGUCUUGGAUUAAUGAAAAAGUUACGCUAGGGAUAACAGGCUAAUUGCGCCAGAGAGUACAAAUUGAGUGCGCAGUUUGGCACCUCGAUGUCGGCUUAGCUCAUCCACAUGAAUGCAGGAGUCAUGAAGGGU